Molecule: ribosomal RNA, 1554 nt
Filed under: Klebsiella pneumoniae
Lineage: Bacteria; Pseudomonadati; Pseudomonadota; Gammaproteobacteria; Enterobacterales; Enterobacteriaceae
Also listed under: 5 other names
Description: bacterial SSU rRNA
Rfam family: Bacterial small subunit ribosomal RNA
Source: RNAcentral
ACUUAAAUUGAAGAGUUUGAUCAUGGCUCAGAUUGAACGCUGGCGGCAGGCCUAACACAUGCAAGUCGAGCGGUAGCACAGAGAGCUUGCUCUCGGGUGACGAGCGGCGGACGGGUGAGUAAUGUCUGGGAAACUGCCUGAUGGAGGGGGAUAACUACUGGAAACGGUAGCUAAUACCGCAUAAUGUCGCAAGACCAAAGUGGGGGACCUUCGGGCCUCAUGCCAUCAGAUGUGCCCAGAUGGGAUUAGCUAGUAGGUGGGGUAACGGCUCACCUAGGCGACGAUCCCUAGCUGGUCUGAGAGGAUGACCAGCCACACUGGAACUGAGACACGGUCCAGACUCCUACGGGAGGCAGCAGUGGGGAAUAUUGCACAAUGGGCGCAAGCCUGAUGCAGCCAUGCCGCGUGUGUGAAGAAGGCCUUCGGGUUGUAAAGCACUUUCAGCGGGGAGGAAGGCGUUAAGGUUAAUAACCUUGGCGAUUGACGUUACCCGCAGAAGAAGCACCGGCUAACUCCGUGCCAGCAGCCGCGGUAAUACGGAGGGUGCAAGCGUUAAUCGGAAUUACUGGGCGUAAAGCGCACGCAGGCGGUCUGUCAAGUCGGAUGUGAAAUCCCCGGGCUCAACCUGGGAACUGCAUUCGAAACUGGCAGGCUAGAGUCUUGUAGAGGGGGGUAGAAUUCCAGGUGUAGCGGUGAAAUGCGUAGAGAUCUGGAGGAAUACCGGUGGCGAAGGCGGCCCCCUGGACAAAGACUGACGCUCAGGUGCGAAAGCGUGGGGAGCAAACAGGAUUAGAUACCCUGGUAGUCCACGCCGUAAACGAUGUCGAUUUGGAGGUUGUGCCCUUGAGGCGUGGCUUCCGGAGCUAACGCGUUAAAUCGACCGCCUGGGGAGUACGGCCGCAAGGUUAAAACUCAAAUGAAUUGACGGGGGCCCGCACAAGCGGUGGAGCAUGUGGUUUAAUUCGAUGCAACGCGAAGAACCUUACCUGGUCUUGACAUCCACAGAACUUAGCAGAGAUGCUUUGGUGCCUUCGGGAACUGUGAGACAGGUGCUGCAUGGCUGUCGUCAGCUCGUGUUGUGAAAUGUUGGGUUAAGUCCCGCAACGAGCGCAACCCUUAUCCUUUGUUGCCAGCGGUCCGGCCGGGAACUCAAAGGAGACUGCCAGUGAUAAACUGGAGGAAGGUGGGGAUGACGUCAAGUCAUCAUGGCCCUUACGACCAGGGCUACACACGUGCUACAAUGGCAUAUACAAAGAGAAGCGACCUCGCGAGAGCAAGCGGACCUCAUAAAGUAUGUCGUAGUCCGGAUUGGAGUCUGCAACUCGACUCCAUGAAGUCGGAAUCGCUAGUAAUCGUAGAUCAGAAUGCUACGGUGAAUACGUUCCCGGGCCUUGUACACACCGCCCGUCACACCAUGGGAGUGGGUUGCAAAAGAAGUAGGUAGCUUAACCUUCGGGAGGGCGCUUACCACUUUGUGAUUCAUGACUGGGGUGAAGUCGUAACAAGGUAACCGUAGGGGAACCUGCGGUUGGAUCACCUCCUUACCUUAAAGAA